RNAcentral lists this ribosomal RNA (386 nucleotides) under uncultured bacterium. Its description in RNAcentral is "bacterial SSU rRNA". It matches the Rfam family "Bacterial small subunit ribosomal RNA", at positions 29 to 418 of the family's 1533-position model. The record is from RNAcentral.
AUUGAACGCUGGCGGCAUGCUUUACACAUGCAAGUCGAACGGUAACAGGCCUUCGGGUGCUGACGAGUGGCGAACGGGUGAGUAAUGCAUCGGAACGUGCCCAAUCGUGGGGGAUAACGUAGCGAAAGUUACGCUAAUACCGCAUAAGCCCUGAGGGGGAAAGUGGGGGACCGCAAGGCCUCACGCGAAUGGAGCGGCCGAUGUCAGAUUAGCUAGUUGGUGGGGUAAAGGCUCACCAAGGCGACGAUCUGUAGCGGGUCUGAGAGGAUGAUCCGCCACACUGGGACUGAGACACGGCCCAGACUCCUACGGGAGGCAGCAGUGGGGAAUUUUGGACAAUGGGCGCAAGCCUGAUCCAGCCAUGCCGCGUGCGGGACGAAGGCCUC